RNAcentral lists this ribosomal RNA (487 nucleotides) under Veillonella dispar. RNAcentral describes it as "bacterial SSU rRNA". It matches the Rfam family "Bacterial small subunit ribosomal RNA", at positions 28 to 487 of the family's 1533-position model. The record is from RNAcentral. Lineage: Bacteria; Bacillati; Bacillota; Negativicutes; Veillonellales; Veillonellaceae.
GACGAACGCUGGCGGCGUGCUUAACACAUGCAAGUCGAACGAAGAGCGAUGGAAGCUUGCUUCUAUCAAUCUUAGUGGCGAACGGGUGAGUAACGCGUAAUCAACCUGCCCUUCAGAGGGGGACAACAGUUGGAAACGACUGCUAAUACCGCAUACGAUCUAAUCUCGGCAUCGAGGAAAGAUGAAAGGUGGCCUCUAUUUAUAAGCUAUCACUGAAGGAGGGGAUUGCGUCUGAUUAGCUAGUUGGAGGGGUAACGGCCCACCAAGGCGAUGAUCAGUAGCCGGUCUGAGAGGAUGAACGGCCACAUUGGGACUGAGACACGGCCCAGACUCCUACGGGAGGCAGCAGUGGGGAAUCUUCCGCAAUGGACGAAAGUCUGACGGAGCAACGCCGCGUGAGUGAUGACGGCCUUCGGGUUGUAAAGCUCUGUUAAUCGGGACGAAAGGCCUUCUUGCGAACAGUAGAAGGAUUGACGGUACCCGAAAA